CUAGAAUGGUCAGUUACUUACAGU
Molecule: microRNA, 24 nt
Filed under: Ananas comosus (pineapple)
Lineage: Eukaryota; Viridiplantae; Streptophyta; Magnoliopsida; Poales; Bromeliaceae
Description: microRNA s0849_c115a
Source: RNAcentral